UGGGGGAUAUUGCACAAUGGGCGAAAGCCUGAUGCAGCGACGCCGCGUGGGGGAUGAAGGCCUUCGGGUUGUAAACUUCUUUUGCUCUGAACAAGGCAUGCUAAUGGGUGUGUUGAGUGUAGGGGUUGAUUAGCGCCGGCUAACUACGUGCCAGCAGCCGCGGUAAUACGUAGGGCGCGAGCGUUGUCCGGAAUUAUUGGGCGUAAAGGGCUUGUAGGUGGCUGGUUGCGUCUGUCGUGAAAGCUCAUGGCUUAACUGUGGGUUUGUGGUGGGUAAGGGGUGGCUUGAGUGCAGUAGGGGGGGCUGGAAUUCCUGGUGUAGCGGUGGAAUGCGCAGAUAUCAGGAGGGAUACCGGUGGCGAAGGCGGGGCUCUGGGCUGUUACUGACACUGAGGAGCGAAAGCAUGGGGAGCGAACAGG
This 419-nucleotide ribosomal RNA is filed under the name bacterium. RNAcentral's name for it is "partial 16S ribosomal RNA". It matches the Rfam family "Bacterial small subunit ribosomal RNA", at positions 355 to 776 of the family's 1533-position model. The record is from RNAcentral.